This 369-nucleotide ribosomal RNA is filed under the name uncultured eukaryote. RNAcentral's name for it is "SSU rRNA". It matches the Rfam family "Eukaryotic small subunit ribosomal RNA", at positions 587 to 969 of the family's 1831-position model. The record is from RNAcentral.
AGCUCCAAUAGCGUAUAUUAAAGUUGUUGCAGUUAAAAAGCUCGUAGUUGGAUUUCUGGCAGGGUGGCUUUGCCCUCUUGAUGAGUGUGCAAUUUUGCCCUUCCAUCCUUCUGUUAACUUUUGAGAGUUUAACGCUUUCCUAAGGGCUCAGAUAUUUUACCUUGAGAAAAUUAGAGUGUUUCAGGCAGGCUAGGCCGGAAUACAUUAGCAUGGAAUAAUGGAAUAGGACCUUAGCCUCUUCUGUUGGUCUGAGGGGUUAGAGUAAUGAUUAAUAGGGAUAGUUGGGGGCAUUAGUACUUAACUGUCAGAGGGGAAAUUCUCGGAUUUGUUAAAGACUAACUUAUGCGAAAGCAUUUGCCAAGGAUGUUU